This 446-nucleotide ribosomal RNA is filed under the name uncultured bacterium. RNAcentral describes it as "partial 16S ribosomal RNA". It matches the Rfam family "Bacterial small subunit ribosomal RNA", at positions 338 to 795 of the family's 1533-position model. The record is from RNAcentral.
CCUACGGGUGGCAGCAGUCGAGAAUCAUUCACAAUGGGGGAAACCCUGAUGGUGCGACGCCGCGUGGGGGAAUGAAGGUCUUGGGAUUUUAAACCCUUGUCUUGUGGGCGCAAAUUAUAAAGAUAGUACCACAAGAGGAAGAGACUGCCAACUCGGUGCCAGCCGCCGCGGUAAUACAGAGGUCGCAAGCGUUGUUCGGAAUCACUGGGCGUAAAGCGUGCGUAGGCUGUUUCGUAAGUCGUAUGUGAAAGGGACGGGCUCAACCCGCGGACGGCACAUGAUACUGCGAGACUUGAGUAAUGGAGGGGCAAGCGGAAUUCUCGGUGUAGCAGUGAAAUGCGUAGAUAUCGGGAGGAACACUAGUGGCGAAGGCGGGUUCCUGGACAUUAACUGACGCUGAGGCACGAAGGCCAGGGGAGCGAAAGGGAUUAGAUACCCUGGUAGUC